Molecule: transfer RNA, 72 nt
Filed under: Anaerolineae bacterium
Lineage: Bacteria; Bacillati; Chloroflexota; Anaerolineae
Description: tRNA-Arg
Rfam family: tRNA
About the family: Transfer RNA (tRNA) molecules are approximately 80 nucleotides in length.
Source: RNAcentral
GCUCCUGUAGCUCAGAGGCAGAGCACCAACCUUCUAAGUUGAGUGUCGGGGGUUCGAAUCCCUCCAGGGGCG